Molecule: long non-coding RNA, 1560 nt
Filed under: Homo sapiens (human)
Lineage: Eukaryota; Metazoa; Chordata; Mammalia; Primates; Hominidae
Description: HSALNT0310597
Source: RNAcentral
GAGUGACGCCUGAAGCUGAAGCAAUUAACACAAUGUUACACGACCGAAAGCUGAGGCAAGGGGCCAGUGUGGAGCCAUGGGAGGCUGUCAUCACUCAAUAUUAAUUGAUCCUACUUUUCAUCCAUAAAGCAGGGGCUGAAACAAAUUUUUGGUCACAAAAAUGGCAACUAUUACACUAUUAAGUCUCUAGAUUGGCAAGAAACAGUGGUAAGAAAAGAAACAGUUGGAUCACCAGUCUGAGGGAUAUGGAAGGCAAUCCAGAAAAACCUCAACAUCCUUCUCCCCAUUCCUUGCACACCUUUACAGCAUUAUUCCAGCCUGGGCUAUUAGAAACAGCAUCAGUAACUUUUCUUUCACACACUUCAUCUCGACCAUUUCUCACCAAGCAAGCCAUGAUGGACUGAAGACCGGUGAGCCCAUGCUCAGGGCAUCUUUGAUGCAUCUAUUAAGGCCUUAAAAGUUCAGCCUGUUGGCAUCAGCAGCCCUGAUGAGUCCACUCACCCCCAGGAAGCUCGUUUGAUUGAGGUACCUUUUCCAAGCUGCAGUUUGGUUGGUGGGUCCAAAGAUUAGAUUUGGUUUAGGAUUUCCAGGGCCCCCUGCACCUACCAAACAGCAGACAAGUCUCUAGCCAUGCAAGGUGCAGCAGGCCAAAGGCAAAUAAUGGUAAAUCAUGGCAGAUGCUUCUCCAAGAUAACACACAGACUCUAUUAGGGCUAUACCCAAGCUGGCCUGGUUUCCAGAUAUAGGAGAACAGACACCAGACUAGGACAUUAAAAACUCCAGAAUUUGGUGGGAUGUUUCAGACGCUGUUUCCUACAUUGAGAGACCUUACUAUCUUGUUCACCAUUGCAUGCUCAAUACAGAGCCUGAAAAAGAGUAGAUAAUCAAUAAAUAUUGAAUGGAUCAAUUUUGUUAAGUAACUUUGCCAGACAAGACUGCUUUCUCCAAAAAGAAAAGUCCACCCACAAGCUUGCCAGCUCCCUUGGGAAUAUAUUAUUAUACCUAUCUUGUGUCAAAGCAACAUGCAUUCCUUAUAGUGCCAUGUUGUACUCAUGCUUACAAACUAAUUCUGAGCUUACACUAGGGAUGCCCAAGUGAAAUAAUCCCUUCCCUCUUUUAAGAGGGCCCAAUGAGGCUGUCAAACUAAUGUGUACUCCUCCUGAUAAAUCAUGUGUAUGUACCUGCAAAGUAUGUUUAUGCAACAGAAUAGAAAAACAUCUCAGUGGCUGCUAAGUGUAGCAGGUACUCCUUGCCCAUGUAAUUUUUACUUAUCAGGAGCCCUGACCUGUAAACAAAGAAGAGUAUGCCUGAAACACAGAACUGAGGAAAUGACCUUCUAGACUUAAUGACAGUGGCAUGCAACUUGAGGCCAGAAUCACCUACCUUUUCACACCAGAUUUGCUUUUGAAAAUAUUUCGUAGAUAAAAUUCAACAGGACUCCUGUCUUCUGAAGCAUUGGUGAAAUAUGGUCAAACUAUAAAAUGACAGUGGACCCAGUGAAAUUAGAGAAAGCUUAAAAUUCUUUAACGCAAUAUUGCUAAUAAUAAUUAGUAGGGUGCA